Molecule: microRNA precursor, 61 nt
Organism: Cricetulus griseus (Chinese hamster)
Lineage: Eukaryota; Metazoa; Chordata; Mammalia; Rodentia; Cricetidae
Source: Ensembl
CAGUCAGGUUCCUGGCUAAAGUUCAGCUAAGAGAUGGACUUUAGAUAAAGCCAGACUGUAA